Molecule: ribosomal RNA, 492 nt
Filed under: uncultured bacterium
Lineage: Bacteria
Description: partial 16S ribosomal RNA
Rfam family: Bacterial small subunit ribosomal RNA
Source: RNAcentral
AGUGAACGCUGGCGGUAGGCCUAACACAUGCAAGUCGAACGGCAGCACAGUAAGAGCUUGCUCUUACGGGUGGCGAGUGGCGGACGUGUGAGGAAUACAUCGGAAUCUACUUUUUCGUGGGGGAUAACGUAGGGAAACUUACGCUAAUACCGCAUACGACCUACGGGUGAAAGCAGGGGAUCUUCGUACCUUGCGCGAUUGAAUGAGCCCAUGUCGGAUUAUCUAGUUGGCGGGGUAAAGGCCCACCAAGGCUACGAUCCGUAGCUGGUCUGAGAGGAUGAGCGGCCUCAUUGGAAGCGAGACACGGUCCAGACCCCUACGGGAGGCAGAAGAGGGGAAUAUUGGACAAGGGGAGAAAGCCUGAUCCAGCCAUACCACGUGGGUGAAGAAGGUGUUCGGGUUGUAGAGCUCUUCUGUUGGGAAAGAAAAGCAGCAGGUUAAUACCCCGCUGUUCUGACGGUACCCAAAGAAUAAGCACCGGCUAACUUCGUG